This 444-nucleotide ribosomal RNA is filed under the name uncultured bacterium. Its description in RNAcentral is "SSU rRNA". It matches the Rfam family "Bacterial small subunit ribosomal RNA", at positions 26 to 518 of the family's 1533-position model. The record is from RNAcentral.
AGAACGAACGCUGGCGGCAGGCCUCAAACAUGCAAGUCUAGGGGAUAGCAAUAUCACCGGCGGACGGGUGCGUAACGCGUGGGAAUGUACCUAUUGGUUCGGAACAACACAGGGAAACUUGUGCUAAUACCGAAUGUGCCCGUAAGGGGAAAGAUUUAUCGCCAAUAGAUCAGCCCGCGUUCGAUUAGCUUGUUGGUGAGGUAAUGGCUCACCAAGGCGACGAUCGAUAGCUGUUCUGAGAGGAAGAUCAGCCACACUGGGACUGAGACACGGCCCAGACUCCUACGGGAGGCAGCAGUUGGGAAUCUUGGACAAUGGGGGAAACCCUGAUCCAGCCAUGCCGCGUGAGUGAUGAAGGCCUUCGGGUUGUAAAACUCUUUCGCGCACGACGAUAAUGACGGUAGUGCGAGAAGAAGCUCCGGCUAACUUCGUGCCAGCAGCCGC